Molecule: long non-coding RNA, 209 nt
Filed under: Eucalyptus grandis
Lineage: Eukaryota; Viridiplantae; Streptophyta; Magnoliopsida; Myrtales; Myrtaceae
Description: long non-coding RNA (EGRA_LNC003837)
Source: RNAcentral
GGGACAAUCAUUAAGGCAAGUUUAUUUGGAAAGAAUCUACUUACGGAAAUCAAGAUUCUGAUUGUAUGGACGACCAGGAUCAUUAGGCUUUCAUCUCAAUCUUCAAACGGCUCGAGAUCUUCUUAAUUGAUUAUGUCCAACGGGUUGAUUGGAAGAAUUUCUCUGGAAAGUGCCAAUGGUCGAAAAGACAUAGAGGAGUAUUUAAGGAG